Molecule: long non-coding RNA, 530 nt
Filed under: Helianthus annuus (common sunflower)
Lineage: Eukaryota; Viridiplantae; Streptophyta; Magnoliopsida; Asterales; Asteraceae
Source: RNAcentral
GAGGGCCAUCCCAUGGAGGAUGGUUGUGGAUCACAUGAAAACUCCACAGUUAAGCGUGCUCGGUUGGAAGCAGUAUAAAGAUGGGUGACUUCCUGGGAAAUCUUCACCGGGUCAACCAAAAACAAAUCCGUGAGUUUCUGGAUGGGCAAAUCAGACAAUAUUGGUGGUAAGAGGGGUCCGAUGCUACAAAUGGUAUCAGAGACACUCUUAUGUCGUUCGACAUGGUGGGGCAAACCUCAUCGACGACGAUGAAUCCCUAAGGGGAUGAUUGUAACGAUACGAUACGAUACCGAUAAUGAUACCGACUACCAAGAAGAUUAACAUGGACCAUUGUAACAACCUAGGCAUAUCCCACAUCGGUCGUGGCUAGGAGAUAUUUCUGUUCAUAAGACAUGUCCUGUCUCUUAAAUCACUAACGUGUUUUAGGCUUAGUUUGCUAUGGAGUACAUGAAAACUCCAUAGUUAAGUAUGCUCAGGUAGGAGUAGUACUAGGUUGGGUGACCUUGUGGAAAGUCUCCAUCGAGGUAACC